UUUAAAGACUUUGAAAGUAGGUAAAUGCAGCGAAUAAAAAGAAAGCAGGGUAAAAAGUUUGAUGAUGUUUUUAACUAGAUGUUCUUUUAUCAUUAAAGGAAAGAUUUCUGGUUUUUGCGGUAUUUACUUAUGCUUAUAGCGGUGGCCUGAUACAAUUAAGUCGUUUUCUGAUGGACGUCCGUUUGAUUUAGUAUUCGCGGUAAUUUAAUGGGCGAAGGUAAAGGAGAAUGACGCAUGAAUAAUUUAUUUAGGAAACUGGAAAAAACCUUCGACUACACGCAACUCGUUCGAGAUCAUUUUAUCCAAACGGUUAACAAGCUACGCUAUGAAUGUAAAAUUGCUUUUACUGUUUCGUACAAUUCGUUAACAAAUUUGCUUUCGGUUGAUUUGCAACGAAGAGAUGAACGUUUUAUCCGUUGCGAAAGUUUCGUAAGAGAAAGAUAAACAUUUCUGGGCAACUUUUAGCAAAGGAGGAACAUACCUGAACGUUCAAGGAUUCAGUUCAAGAUUAUAUUGGCAAAGAAGUCCGUAGAAAAGCCAGGAAGUUUAACGUUUGUAAUCUCCGACAAACGUAUAAUUUAAUAUCGCGAUCUUUAAAAUGUUAACGAGCUCUUCAGAGAAUUUCUAAGUGACUACGAAUGUACUUUAGUAUUCAAAUAAACGAAGACUAUUGCUCCGAUAUAAAUACCUUUUGAAACUUAAGGAAACAUUAUGUCCAAGUGCAAAACAGAUUUAAGGCUUUAGCCGGACAGCUAAAGAUACAAAUUCGACCAGAUUCAAAAUUUAGAAUGCGGAAAUUAAAAUUAUUCGUCGAUACGUUCGUCGGAUGAAUUUCGAGUUUUUGAACUUCAAAAGGUUUUCGAGAAAAAGAGACGCAGGACUUUUGCUGGCGGAUCUUUGGGGUAGGCACGUGCCGAACGCAUUGUUCCUUUUUUGCCGAACACGAAACAGAAAAGAGCGGCUUUUCUUCGACGUGUAAACGGGACUUUAUGCGCUGGUUAUUCAUGCCAUUCGCGUGUACGUACGAGCUUUCGCACAUUUACGCUACUCAUUCAUACAGGGAAAGAGAUAUAAAUACGCGUGCGCGUUUGCGAACACGUGCGCAUACACCCACGAUGCGUAACGACCGUGUAAAGUCCCCUACUCUUUUCCGAAUCUCCGCCACUCUACGAUUUCCCCACUCCUUCCAUUGCCAUCUCCUCGUCGUCCCCGUUAUUACUCGAAAACCUUUUAUUUAUUUAUGGAAUACAUUUCAAGAUUCAAUUUUGUCCACCUAAGUACAUGCUCGCCUCGCUUAUAUCCGUCGUUUGUUUGUCCUUUGUUUGUCCGUUUUGCUUUAUACCUUUCACGUCUCUGAUUCUUUCCUUCUUUCUCCGAUUGUUUUAUGUGUUCGAGCGCAAAGCAUGCACGUUGCUCCGUCAAUGAAUUCUGAUCGCGCUAAGCCUUGUACCGACGGUCGGUAAAAAGUCCCUCUUGCAGAAGUUUGUAAAGUGAGAACACGUUCACCUAGUUGCAAUUAUGUACUCUGUUUAAUUCUGUUCUUGACACUCUGUGUCGUUUGAUCGCGAGCCGUUUUCACAUCCACGGCUAACCGUCGUGCCAAACGUGGUGCACGCAUGUUUAUUUGCAUCCGUGGAUAUUAAGAGUGCAUUACCCGAGUUUCGGUACUCGGAAAACGGAGACCAUUUCGCAAACAGCGCGGACCAAAGUUUCCAACUUAAAAGAAGUGUGGACAACGAUUAGCUUCUGAUUAAAACAAGAAGAUCGAUGUUGUAACGGAAGAGUAAUUUAAAGCAAACUAAUGUCAAUCAAAGAAACUGUAUUAAAUUACGUUAUGCUAACGCAACGAAUAUAAUUUGCAUAUUACUCGCGAGUACAUGCAAAUCCAAGGAAUUACUCGGCAUCUAUGUUUUACCUGGAAAAGAGUGCGCCACCGUAUACGUAACUGGGAAUAAACGUGGUUAUUAUUAGAAGAAAUUGUAUGCGGAUAUAACUAAUAAUGACGUAUAAUAGUAUUUUCGUCUCAUGGUGGAAACUGAAGGCUUGGAAAUUCGGUAGCCGCAUACAUAAGCGGCAGAAGCACGAUUAAACUUUAAAAUGCAAUUAUCUCAAAAUAACUGUGCUCGGCAGUUAGCAAGUCUGCGCUCAGUAGGGCAACGUAACCCUUAUAAUUGCUCUGAAUUAAUACAUCAAACAGCUAUGUUAUCUAACAUGCACUGUACUAUGGUAUGAAUGAUACUAUCUGUAAUUGCAUAUUCUGUUUAGAAUUACGCUUUCAGAAUUGGUUUAUGCACAUCAUUUAAAUAUCUCAGUGUUCGAAAUUUAUUUUUUCCCCUAUCCUUUUCUAUCGUAUAUUUAUUUAACGCCAUAAAUUUAUUUAAUAAUUUAUUUAAUAGAUACAUUAUUAAGAAAACCUGUUUGGAAACGCUCGUUGGAGUAUUUUGGUCGACGCAACUUUUACCUAAAUUAUAAACACCAUAUAGAGAGUUUUCGAAAGCAGCCUUUCAACUCCGAUAGAAUUAUUCUUUCUACAGGCUUUUCUCUUUUCCCCCGUUUAUCCUUUGUUACUCUUUCAAAGAAUUCUUUUUAUCUUGCUUGUGAAAUUUGUUAAAUUCUUUCUGAAAAAUACUAACAAUAUUACAUUUUCACGUGGAAAAAGUUAAAAUCGACGUAACUAAAAUUGUUUUGCUUCUUUAUGCCGUGAAUUUUCCAAUCUAUUAUAAAAAUUUCUAGCUAAAUGAUGGCUCGGUUAACAGGUUGAAAACUUUGUUUGUUGAACAAUAUUUCAAGCAUUCGAUGCUCUCGUAAUAUUUCCAUCGUUCAUUGUAAAAAUAAAGCGAAACUACAACACAACUUUUAAUGCAAUUAGAAAUUCGCUCUUUUCGCGCGGUCGUGUCGGAAGAAAAAUUGAAGUUGAGUUAAUUAAUAAAGUUGGAGAUUGAAGGCAGAUGCUUGGGAGAAUUCGCAGAAUGCGAAAAAUUUACGACCAAACUAUUCGAUCGCGAAGUUCGUCAAAUUGUCCUGCUGUGAUCGUUUAAAAUAUCAAACGCUGUAUGUUCGUAGGAUCGCGUAAUUAUUGUAAUUUAUUAGAUUCUCGUGAGCAAUGCGACGAGCAAUAUCGUUGGGAAUUCUGUAAACGUUGGGAAACAUUAGGAAGAAAGGAAGGAAGGGAAAAUGUUGGUGAAUCGUGGAUGGUUAUUCUCACCAAAUGCCGUGUUGCGAAAAUCGAGAUGAGCGAGACUUCCAUUUCGCUAUUGCUCAUUCCACCUCUUCAGCGACUAUGUCAAGAUGAAAUUCUCGAAAUAGACGACUUCGCAAUGGAGAGAAACGUGCAACAGAGACACUAAAGAACCAAAGAAUCAGAGUGAAAAUGAAAAUUCGGUUAAGACUCUUUUAAUCCUAUCUAAAUCGUUGUUGCACAAUUUUAUUCGACGUUGCUCGCAUAUUUAACGAGUCGUCAAACUGUUCUUCAUGAUUUCCAAUAUUAUUGUUACGGCUCUUUUGUACAAUAGUUCACCGACUAAUAGUGUUAGUAAAAUCGAUUUCACGAUUUUAUAUAAUAUUUGUCGAGCAGGAU
Molecule: long non-coding RNA, 3577 nt
Organism: Bombus terrestris (buff-tailed bumblebee)
Lineage: Eukaryota; Metazoa; Arthropoda; Insecta; Hymenoptera; Apidae
Exons: 2
Source: RefSeq, a predicted model, not a curated record